CCUACGGGCGGCAGCAGUGAGGAAUAUUGGUCAAUGGGCGCAAGCCUGAACCAGCCAAGCAGCGUGAAGGAUGACUGCUCUACGGGUUGUAAACUUCUUUUAUACAGGAAUAAAAUGAGGCACGUGUACCUUUUUGUAUGUACUUUAUGAAUAAGGAUCGGCUAACUCCGUGCCAGCAGCCGCGGUAAUACGGAGGAUCCGAGCGUUAUCCGGAUUUAUUGGGUUUAAAGGGUGCGUAGAUGGUUUGUUAAGUCAGUUGUGAAAGUUUGCGGCUCAACCGUAACAUUGCCAUUGAUACUGGAAGUCUUGAGUACAGAUGAGGUAGGCGGAAUUCGUGGUGUAGCGGUGAAAUGCUUAGAUAUCACGAAGAACCCCGAUUGCGAAGGCGGCUUACUAAACCGCAACUGACACUGAUGCCCGAAAGUGUGGGUAUCAAACAGGAUUAGAUACCCCUGUAGUC
This 460-nucleotide ribosomal RNA is filed under the name uncultured bacterium. RNAcentral describes it as "partial 16S ribosomal RNA". It matches the Rfam family "Bacterial small subunit ribosomal RNA", at positions 338 to 795 of the family's 1533-position model. The record is from RNAcentral.